GACGAACGCUGGCGGCGUGCUUAACACAUGCAAGUCGAGCGGUAAGGCCCUUUCGGGGGUACACGAGCGGCGAACGGGUGAGUAACACGUGGGUGACCUGCCCUCAGCUCUGGGAUAAGCCUGGGAAACCGGGUCUAAUACUGGAUAUGACUCCAUGACGCAUGUUGUGGGGUGGAAAGCCUUGUGCGGCUGAGGAUGGGCCCGCGGCCUAUCAGCUUGUUGGUGGGGUGAUGGCCUACCAAGGCGACGACGGGUAGCCGGCCUGAGAGGGCGACCGGCCACACUGGGACUGAGACACGGCCCAGACUCCUACGGGAGGCAGCAGUGGGGAAUUUUCGCAAUGGGGGCAACCCUGACGAAGCAACGCCGCGUGGGGAUGAAGGUCUUCGGAUUGUAAACCCCUGUCGACCGGGACGAAUGUAGAACGGCCUAAUACGCCGAGCU
Molecule: ribosomal RNA, 444 nt
Filed under: uncultured bacterium
Lineage: Bacteria
Description: bacterial SSU rRNA
Rfam family: Bacterial small subunit ribosomal RNA
Source: RNAcentral